CCUACGGGUGGCAGCAGUGAGGAAUAUUGGUCAAUGGGCGCGAGCCUGAACCAGCCAAGUAGCGUGAAGGAUGACUGCCCUACGGGUUGUAAACCUCUUUUGUCGGGGAGCAAAAGCCGGACGUGUCCGGCUGUGAGAGUACCCGAAGAAAAAGCAUCGGCUAACUCCGUGCCAGCAGCCGCGGUAAUACGGAGGAUGCGAGCGUUAUCCGGAUUUAUUGGGUUUAAAGGGUGCGCAGGCGGAUUUUUAAGUCAGCGGUAAAAUCGUGGGGCUCAACCCCAUCCAGCCGUUGAAACUGGGGAUCUAGAGUGUGCGAGAGGUAUGCGGAAUGCGUGGUGUAGCGGUGAAAUGCAUAGAUAUCACGCAGAACCCCGAUUGCGAAGGCAGCAUACCGGUGCACAACUGACGCUCAGGCACGAAAGCGUGGGUAUCGAACAGGAUUAGAUACCCGAGUAGUC
Molecule: ribosomal RNA, 458 nt
Filed under: uncultured bacterium
Lineage: Bacteria
Description: partial 16S ribosomal RNA
Rfam family: Bacterial small subunit ribosomal RNA
Source: RNAcentral